UGAACGCUAGCUACAGGCUUAACACAUGCAAGUCGAGGGGCAGCAUAGCGGAAGCUUGCUUCUGCUGAUGGCGACCGGCGCACGGGUGAGUAACGCGUAUCCAACCUUCCCUACAGUAGGGGAUAGCCCGGCGAAAGUCGGAUUAAUACCCUAUGUUCUUCUUCGAUGACAUCUGACGAGAAGCAAAGGUUCACCGCUAUAGGAUCGGGGAUGCGUCUGAUUAGCUUGUUGGCGGGGUAACGGCCCACCAAGGCUACGAUCAGUAGGGGUUCUGAGAGGAAGGUCCCCCACAUUGGUACUGAGACACGGACCAAACUCCUACGGGAGGCAGCAGUGAGGAAUAUUGGUCAAUGGGCGAGAGCCUGAACCAGCCAAGUAGCGUGCAGGAAUGACUGCCCUAUGGGUUGUAAACUGCUUUUAUGCGGGAAUAAAGUCGGGCACGUGUGCCUGUUUGUAUGUACCGCAUGAAUAAGGACCGGCUAAUUCCGUGCCAGCAGCCGC
This 501-nucleotide ribosomal RNA is filed under the name uncultured bacterium. RNAcentral describes it as "bacterial SSU rRNA". It matches the Rfam family "Bacterial small subunit ribosomal RNA", at positions 30 to 518 of the family's 1533-position model. The record is from RNAcentral.